AACGAACGCUGGCGGCAUGCCUAACACAUGCAAGUCGAACGAGACCUUCGGGUGUAGUGGCGCACGGGUGCGUAACGCGUGGGAAUCUGCCCUUGGGUUCGGAAUAACAGUUGGAAACGACGGCUAAUACCGGAUGAUGACGUAAGUCCAAAGAUUUAUCGCCCAAGGAUGAGCCCGCGUAGGAUUAGCUAGUUGGUGAGGUAAAGGCUCACCAAGGCGACGAUCCUUAGCUGGUCUGAGAGGAUGAUCAGCCACACUGGGACUGAGACACGGCCCAGACUCCUACGGGAGGCAGCCGUGGGGAAUAUUGGACAAUGGGCGAAAGCCUGAUCCAGCAAUGCCGCGUGAGUGAUGAAGGCCUUAGGGUUGUAAAGCUCUUUUACCCGGGAUGAUAAUGACAGUACCGGGAGAAUAAGCUCCGGCUAACUCCGUG
RNAcentral lists this ribosomal RNA (433 nucleotides) under uncultured bacterium. RNAcentral describes it as "partial 16S ribosomal RNA". It matches the Rfam family "Bacterial small subunit ribosomal RNA", at positions 29 to 507 of the family's 1533-position model. The record is from RNAcentral.